RNAcentral lists this ribosomal RNA (138 nucleotides) under Talaromyces minioluteus. RNAcentral describes it as "5.8S ribosomal RNA". It matches the Rfam family "5.8S ribosomal RNA", at positions 1 to 128 of the family's 154-position model. Rfam says of the family: 5.8S ribosomal RNA (5.8S rRNA) is a component of the large subunit of the eukaryotic ribosome. It is transcribed by RNA polymerase I as part of the 45S precursor that also contains 18S and 28S rRNA. Lineage: Eukaryota; Fungi; Ascomycota; Eurotiomycetes; Eurotiales; Trichocomaceae. The record is from RNAcentral.
UAAUUAUCAAAACUUUCAACAAUGGAUCUCUUGGUUCCGGCAUCGAUGAAGAACGCAGCGAAAUGCGAUAAGUAAUGUGAAUUGCAGAAUUCCGUGAAUCAUCGAAUCUUUGAACGCACAUUGCGCCCCCUGGCAUUC